This 71-nucleotide transfer RNA is filed under the name Cordylochernes scorpioides. RNAcentral describes it as "tRNA-Thr". The record is from RNAcentral. Lineage: Eukaryota; Metazoa; Arthropoda; Arachnida; Pseudoscorpiones; Chernetidae.
GUCCAGGGAUGAGAAUCGAAUCCAGUGUUCCGCUUACCGGGCAGAUGCCAUGUCCACUAGGCUACCCUGGA